Podarcis muralis (Common wall lizard) is the source of this 181-nucleotide non-coding RNA. NCBI's taxonomy places the organism in Eukaryota, Metazoa, Chordata, Lepidosauria, Squamata, Lacertidae. The record is from RefSeq and is a predicted model, not a curated record.
GCCGCGUCCUGCGCCUCAGCCGCCCCAGAGGAAGCCCCUCCCCGUCGCCCACUCUGAGGAGAGAAAUCUCGCGAGAGCUCGUGGAAGGAGGCGCCCAGGGGCGCGGAGCAAUACAGAUGUCUGAGAGAUACAGAAACUAUCAAUGGCUUGCCUGUUUGACAUCGUACAGUCCACAACUUAA